AAUAGAUACCCUGGUAGUCCACGCCGUAAACGAUGUGCGCUGGAUGUUGGGUGGCCUAGCCACUCAGUGUCGUAGCUAACGCGGUAAGCGCACCGCCUGGGGAGUACGGCCGCAAGGCUAAAACUCAAAGGAAUUGACGGGGGCCCGCACAAGCGGCGGAGCAUGCGGAUUAAUUCGAUGCAACGCGAAGAACCUUACCAAGGCUUGACAUAUACGAGAACGGGCCAGAAAUGGUCAACUCUUUGGACACUCGUAAACAGGUGGUGCAUGGUUGUCGUCAGCUCGUGUCGUGAGAUGUUGGGUUAAGUCCCGCAACGAGCGCAACCCUUGUCCUUAGUUGCCAUCAUUUAGUUGGGAACUCUAAGGAGACCGCCGGUGACAAACCGGAGGAAGGUGGGGAUGACGCCAAGUCAUCAUGGCCUUUAUGACCAGGGCUACACACGUGCUACAAUGGUAGAUACAGAGGGAAGCCAACGCGCGAGCGGGAGCUAAUCCCAGAAAAUCUAUCGUAGUCCGGAUUGGAGU
RNAcentral lists this ribosomal RNA (525 nucleotides) under uncultured bacterium. Its description in RNAcentral is "bacterial SSU rRNA". It matches the Rfam family "Bacterial small subunit ribosomal RNA", at positions 777 to 1304 of the family's 1533-position model. The record is from RNAcentral.